CCUACGGGGGGCAGCAGUGGGGGAUAUUGCACAAUGGGGGAAACCCUGAUGCAGCGACGCCGCGUGUGGGAAGACGGUCUUCUGGAUUGUAAACCACUGUCCCCAGGGACGAAAAUGACGGUACCUGGGGAGGAAGCUCCGGCAAACUACGAGCCAGCAGCCGCGGUAAUACGUAGGGAGCAAGCGUUGUCCGGAAUUACUGGGUGUAACGGGAGCGUAGGCGGGGAUGCAAGUUGGCUGGCAAAACUACCGGCUCAACCGAGAGGCGCAGUCAGAACUGCAGCUCUUGAGUGAAGUAGAGGCAGGCGGAAUUCCUAGUGUAGCGGUGAAAUGCGUAGAUAUUAGGAGGAACACCAGUGGCGAAGGCGGCCUGCUGGGCUUUUACUGACGCUGAGGCUCGAAAGUGUGGGGAGCGAACAGGAUUAGAUACCCGAGUAGUC
Molecule: ribosomal RNA, 440 nt
Filed under: uncultured bacterium
Lineage: Bacteria
Description: partial 16S ribosomal RNA
Rfam family: Bacterial small subunit ribosomal RNA
Source: RNAcentral